RNAcentral lists this transfer RNA (76 nucleotides) under Ahniella sp. RNAcentral describes it as "tRNA-Gln". It matches the Rfam family "tRNA". Rfam says of the family: Transfer RNA (tRNA) molecules are approximately 80 nucleotides in length. Their secondary structure includes four short double-helical elements and three loops (D, anti-codon, and T loops). The record is from RNAcentral. Lineage: Bacteria; Pseudomonadati; Pseudomonadota; Gammaproteobacteria; Lysobacterales; Rhodanobacteraceae.
UGGGGCGUCGCCAAGUCGGUAAGGCACGGGAUUUUGAUUCCCGCAUUCGAAGGUUCGAGUCCUUCCGCCCCAGCCA